UCUGUCACAAUCUUGCGAGGAGGGGAGAGAGAAGAAGGGGUGAGAGGCAGAAACCCUGCCGCGCUCGCCGCCUCUUUUGUCUGCUCCGGGACUCGGACAAAAGGGGGAACUCUGAUGAACUCUCCCUCCUCCCCUCGCCCCGGACGCCCGGGUCUCUCCCGCUCGCAACUUUGCCGCGGCCACUUUCUCUGCUGUCAGGCCGCAGGAAAGGGUGCGAGCGCUUCGCGGGCGGCAACGAGGGAAUCGGGUCUCUUCCAAGUGCGCCGGAGUGGGCGAGAAGGUGUAAUUACUGUCAGCCACUGAGGACAUCACGCAGUUGCUGGAGUACUUCCUAGUGCUGAACUUCAUCCUGCAUUGUUUUUACUGGAUCUAUCAGCAAACGAUACGGAAAGUGCCCGUAUGACGUCAAAUCACCCCUGGGUGGAAGUUCCUCAAGGUUCUUCCUUUGGAGUUACUUAGCAGUUCAGUAGUUGGGAUUUUUUUGAAGAUGCCUUUCCUAUGUGGAUUAUUACAAUGUGAUGACCGCGAGCUCGCCACCUUCCAGAAGAUUCCAUGGAACACCAAGAUGAGAGAGCAGUCGCCAGGCCUUCUAAUAGGUGUGAAUCAUGGUGCUACGAUGAGAGUUGGUGAUUUAUGGCUUUGGAGGGCAUGCGUGUGUAUGAUUAAGGGAUGCCUUUCGUCAAGACCACCCGUCAAAACAGGAAGAUAA
This 709-nucleotide long non-coding RNA is filed under the name Oryctolagus cuniculus (rabbit). RNAcentral describes it as "lncRNA (ENSOCUG00000033479.1)". Lineage: Eukaryota; Metazoa; Chordata; Mammalia; Lagomorpha; Leporidae. The record is from RNAcentral.